Molecule: long non-coding RNA, 423 nt
Filed under: Mytilus galloprovincialis (Mediterranean mussel)
Lineage: Eukaryota; Metazoa; Mollusca; Bivalvia; Mytilida; Mytilidae
Source: RNAcentral
UUUCUGUGUCAUUCAAGUCUUACCCUAUAGAUACAGCAGUCCAUUCAUGCUAACUGGGAGUUUAUGGGACUUAAGUGUCUUGCUGGCGAAUUAUUAUUGUUAAGUCAGGUCUGCCUAAAUGUCUGUUUUUACGGAUUUUUGACAAAACGGUGACCUAGAUUUUACAGACUAGUUUCUAUUGGCCAUAUGAUACCUCUUUGUGUUCCUAUACCACCUAUGCAUGAAUUUACGAUAAUAGUUUAUACCUACAAUGACUACCAGUUACGUAGUGGCCAUCAAAAGAUGCCCAUCCCCACCUGAUUUUGGCUACUUUUCACGUUUUUCCGAUUUGGAACUCUUAAACGGCUUUCAAAGUGCCAUAUUUUCAUAAACAGACGUCUGAGAAGAGUUUAUGGACCAUGAACUGCUUGGUUGAAGUCCCUG